Juglans regia (Persian walnut) is the source of this 608-nucleotide long non-coding RNA. RefSeq lists it as uncharacterized. The transcript is spliced from 3 exons. NCBI's taxonomy places the organism in Eukaryota, Viridiplantae, Streptophyta, Magnoliopsida, Fagales, Juglandaceae. The record is from RefSeq and is a predicted model, not a curated record.
GUCUCGCUUGGUUGCUACUCAACACAUGUCAAAUAUUGCUAGCUUGCUACGUUGUGCGGAGGUAAUCCCUUGAGGUUUCUUGGGUGGAGAACCCAAACUUGUCUGCCAGUGAGUUCCUUCACGCUCAUUGUGUGAAAAUACAUGAUGGGAACCAAUGCAAUUUUCGUUCUUGUACCGGAUAGCGAGUUUUUCACGUUUGGAGAACGUCUACGCCUAGUUAAUGAAGAACCCAGAUUGAGUGAAUUCAGAAGUGGUUCUCAUUUGAGAUAAAUCGACCGUUUUUGGGUCAUGUUGGGUCGCUACUGCAAGCGGGCAGCCCCUACCCUUUUAACCCCAAAGGAAAGAAGUCAUGCGUUGAGGGUGCAAGACAAAACAGUGGACCAUGAACGCGCUAGUUGCGAUUCUAUUUUCUCCAAUAGUACUUUCCCUUCCACAACUACGUGUUGGGCAGCCAAGGAAAUCAAGAGAAUCCAAUAUCUAUUCAAGAUUUGUGAAUGUGGAGUUAUCGAAUGUUGGGCAUGAGGAGGAUUUACUAUGUGAAGAUUGAUGGUCUAGAUAGGUGAUGACAUUUAUGAGGAUGAGACUGCAGAACAAGACUUGAUCCCGGG